AUGAAUAUUAAUAUUACGAACAAAAAAGAAGAUAACAGAUGUAAGAUUGUUAUUAAUCCUGGUGGAAGUAGGUACAAAAAUUUGAAUAAAAAAAAUAUUACUAUUAGGCAUCCUGAAAUAAUAAAGCUGAAGGACGAAAAGUGUAUGAUGGAGGAGACAUAUGGUAAUUACUACUAUGAACAGUUUAUAAAAAAUAUGUGGGAAAAUACAAGUAAAGAAGUAUUAAAAAAUCAUAAAUAUGAUAAUCAUAAUAAUAACAUUUAUAAUACAGUAGGAGGGUAUAAUAAUAACAUUUAUAAUACAGUAGGGGGAUCUAAUAAUUAUUCAAAAAUGUUAGGGAAUGUUUCUGUUUACGAAAAUAGUUUUGAUUAUAAUGAAAGAAAUUGUGAUCCAUAUAUAUAUUAUGAGGAUAAUGCAAUUAAUAAUAACAAUAAUAUGAGUAAUGUCAAAGAUAACAAUAUAAACUAUUUAAGUUUGAGCAACUCCUUAUACAUUUAUUGUUUUCUUUUUGUUAGUAUUUACCUUUUAGAUUCCAAUGAACAUUUAAUAUACAAACCUGAUACUGUUGUAAGUGAAAAUGAAGAAAUGGAAUUAGAUGGUGCUUGUAAAGUAGAUACAUGUGAUAAUUAUUUGAACUUGAAACAAGUGGAAGAUAAUUGUACUGAACAAGAAGAUUAUCAUACUUAUAAAAAAAAAAAAAUAAAAAAAAACAAAAAACAUUCUCAUAAAAAACAUGGCUUAUAUGAACAAGUAGAAAGUGAAGAUAAAGUUGAAUCAAUAAAAGGGAAGGAGAAUAUAACAAAUAAACAAAAUGAAGUAAGAAAACAUAAAGAACGAAUGAAAGAAAGUAAUGGUAGUAAAUAUCAAUCUGUAGAACCUGAAAUUAAAAGUGUGUUAGAUGGUGAUAACGACAAUAUGUAUAAUAAAUUGAACAAAGAAUUGAACAAAGAAUUGAACAGAGAAUUGAACAAAGAAUUGAACAGAGAAUUGAACAAAGACAUAUAUCAAAAAAAUAUUUAUAAUAAUGAUGAUAACAUUAUUAUUAAAAAAAAAAGCAAUUACUCUACUAUAUAUGAUAAAAAUUAUGGGGAUUAUUAUGAAGGUGUAACAUAUGACAAUAAUUAUACCACUAGUACCACAUUUGUUAAUAAUAACAAUGACGACAGUGUAAAUUACAAUAACAAUUACUACCACUAUGAUAAUUAUAACAAUUAUAAUAAUAAUAACUAUAAACAAAAUUAUAAAUAUAAUAAUUAUUACGAGAAUGAAAACAAGAACUACCUUAACUACAACGACAACGAAAAUUACGAAAAUUAUGAAAAUUACAAUAAUGAUAAUUUGAAUAAUAACGAUGAUAGUGACAAUAGCGACAACAGUGAUGACAUGGUUCUAACUUUAUCACCCAGUUCACACAACUUAGAUGUUAAAGAAUUAUUUUUAAUAUCUUAUGCUACUGAAAAUAUCCAGAAUAAAGAAAAUGUAACUACAGGUGUGAAUAAACAUAUAUUCGAAUAUUUAAACGAUAUGAAAGAAAAAUAUGUAAACAUUUAUAUGAACAAUAUGGAAUUAUAUGGAGGUAAUAUUUAUCCUUUUGAAUUUCAUUAUAUAGAUAAUUUUUAUAAAGAUAUUCAUUUACCUUUAAUGAAUUUAUCUGAAUAUGAUGAAUAUACUUUUUUUAUUUAUUUAUUUUAUUUAAAAAACUCUCAUUAUAUAUUAAAGAAACAAAUAAAAAAAGAAAAAAAAAAAGAAAAAAAGAUUUUUCAGAUAUUACUACUACGGCUUCAAAAAAAAGAACUCCAAAACGUAAAUUAA
RNAcentral lists this long non-coding RNA (1812 nucleotides) under Piliocolobus tephrosceles (Ugandan red Colobus). Its description in RNAcentral is "lncRNA (ENSPTEG00000016500.1)". The record is from RNAcentral. Lineage: Eukaryota; Metazoa; Chordata; Mammalia; Primates; Cercopithecidae.